RNAcentral lists this unclassified non-coding RNA (433 nucleotides) under soil metagenome. RNAcentral's name for it is "partial contains 5.8S ribosomal RNA, internal transcribed spacer 2, and large subunit ribosomal RNA". The stretch from base 1 to 120 matches the Rfam family "5.8S ribosomal RNA", at positions 35 to 154 of the family's 154-position model. The record is from RNAcentral.
GAUGAAGAACGCAGCGAAAUGCGAUACGUAAUGUGAAUUGCAGAAUUCAGUGAAUCAUCGAAUCUUUGAACGCAUAUUGCGCUCUCUGGUAUUCCGGAGAGCAUGCUUGUUUGAGUAUCAGUAAACACCUCAACUUCCAUAUCUUUUUUGAAAUGGGAGUUGGACUUGAGUGAUCCCAACGCUUUUCCUCACCGAAAAGCGGCGGGUUACUUGAAAUGCAGGUGCAGCUGGACUUUUCUCUGAGCUAUAAGCAUAUCCAUUUAGUCUGCCUAAAAAACAGAUUAUUACCUUUGCUGCAGCUAACAUAAAGGAGAUUAGUUCUUGUGCUGACUGAUGCAGGAUUCACAAAGACAGGCUUCGGCCGACUUUGUAAACUCGAUCUCAAAUCAAGUAAGACUACCCGCUGAACUUAAGCAUAUCAAUAAGCGGAGGA